RNAcentral lists this ribosomal RNA (116 nucleotides) under Pteropus alecto (black flying fox). The record is from RNAcentral. Lineage: Eukaryota; Metazoa; Chordata; Mammalia; Chiroptera; Pteropodidae.
GUCUACGGCCAUGCCACCCUGAAUAAGCCUGAUGUCUGAUCUCGGAAGCUAAGCAGGGUUGGGCCUGGUUAGUACUUGGAUGGGAGACCACCUAGGAAGACCAGGAGCUGUAGGCA